RNA transcript from Mytilus californianus (California mussel), 2169 nucleotides. RefSeq lists it as uncharacterized. The transcript has 2 exons. Lineage: Eukaryota; Metazoa; Mollusca; Bivalvia; Mytilida; Mytilidae. The record is from RefSeq and is a predicted model, not a curated record.
CAUAGUGUUCUUAGAAUAUAAAAUAUAACCCUGGCAAAAGUUAAACGUUCGAUUGAUUUUUGAAAAAGAAUGUAAAAUCUGCUGUUUAGGAAUGCAGCUUCCUUAAAUAGAAGACGAUAGCACCUCGCUCGCUAAUUAAGGAUCAACUUUCGUUAUCUGUCGAAGUAUACUUUCAACACGUCUCGUAUAUUUUCUAGCUUUGGCUCAGUUUUCGUCAAACUUGUAAAAUGUAUCAAUUAUUUUAGCAGAAAGUCAAAUAAAGUCACAUUAGUAAUAACUUGAAUUCAAAAUGGUCGCCUUUGUUCAUAUGUUUAGAGGCUCCAUAUUCCUAAUUUUAUUCAUUGGAAAACAUACUCAAAUAUUUCAAUGACAUUAAGUUUUCAGAUCUGAAUAUUACCAAAAAGAAUAAGCAAAUCUAAGUUAAAAACACAACAAUAUUCUAUUUCUUUCUAGUAGUAUCGAAAGUAUCAUGAUGUCAUAACAAAAAGUAAAAUCACAAAAAUACUGAACUCCGAGGAAAAUUCAAAAAGGAAAGUCCCUAAUCAAAUGGCAAAAUCAAAAGCUCAAACACAUCAAACGAAUGGAUAACAACUGUCAUAUUCCUGACUUGGUACAGGCAUUUUCUUAUGCAGAAAAUGGUGGAUUGAACCUGGUUUUAAAGCAAAAGAAGUGUUCCAUUACAUGGUUAAAGUCAAACAGUGCUGUUUUUCAAUUCUUUAUAUUAUUUCCGGUCAAUAGACACAGACAAACCUAAUGACUAUUUAAACUCUCGCGUUAAGUAAUAGAUAAUUAGAUAUGCACAAUAUAAUCUAAAAAGAAAAGUUUGACAUUCAUUUACACUUGAUACUUGUUUUGCAACAUUUGAUAUUCUACUGACUUAAUUUUGGAAUAUAUGUCACGUGACGGAUAACUACGGAAUUUGGAACUCAAUGGAUAAAAAAAUCCAUUCUCUGUUAUGUUAUUAAAAUUGAAUUCACAUUUUUCAAGAAAUUAUAUAAAAAUGGUGUGUAACCUUUGACUGAAAACUAACAGACCAAAAGAUUUAACACGAGUGAAUGAUAAAUCAAUAAUAACAAGAAUACAGUUUUCUAAAUCUACUGAAGAUAAAAACGAUAGUUUUGGGAGUAUACUGAAAACCAUAGUAUAUGAGAAUAUGGAACAAAGCUUCAUUCGUCCAUUUAAACGUGCAAGUUCAGAAUCAAGCUUGCAUCGUGUCAACUAUAGGGAAAACUCAAAUUUGUCAGCUCCUCUUAACUAUUUUCCAUCCGUUGAUAAUGCGGUGAGACACUUUAAAGGAAAAACAGACGCUCCAAAAGUAGUAGCUAUUUCAGUCCCCUUAAAUAAAAGACAAUCUUUCUUAGACAACAGUGAUGAACAUCGAUUGAAAUACCACCACCGAAGCGUAGACGAGUUAGAAAAGAUCUCAAAGAAUACGGAAAGAUUACGGACAGUGUUCGAUGAGGAAAUCGAUCUUGAUUAUAUAGACAUCGUGUAUGAAACUAAUAAGCCAUCAAAACAACAUUAUCUUUCACUUUCAUGUGCGCCGCCAUUAAUGUCGAAAUCUAUUUCAAGAAGAAUAAAACUUCAACAGAGGACAGAUUCUCGAGACGGAAGUGCUAAAAGUAAGAAUGAAGACAAAUGUUUUAACGAGACUGACGAAUUACCGGUAGUUUUAACUUGUACCGACGAAUUACUGAACAGAACAACUAACUCCAAACCUACUAGCAGUAAAGUUGGCUGGCGAAAAGUUACAAAUAGCAAUGAAGUUCACAUUGAAGUACAAUCAGACAAAAGUAUUAGCAAUGCUUAUAAUCAUGGCCGACAUUUUAGUGCUAAAUCUUCACAUACCGAUGUAAACCCUGAUCCAUUUUCUACUGCACAUAGACUAUCUUAUUUCCGUAAGACACACGGAUUUGCUGGCGGUUUUAAUCGGGCUAAUACUAAAGAUGUGCAAAAAAUGUUAAGAUACAGUAAAUAUAUCAAUCCUAACUUUAAACAUAAAAACUUAAGAUGAUAUAUAUCGAAUACGAGUAGUCAAAUAGUAAAAUCAAAUAAAAUAUAUUUUGUGUUAUUUAAACACGCCAUAAUGUUUGUAAGGAGAAAAGAAACAUUUGUGUAUUGAUGUGAGAGUGGGUUCUGAAAUGUACUAAAUAAAAAAAACCUUCUAAA